AAGUCAUGUCAGCAACAGAAUCUGUGGAAGAACUCUGGAGAAGCGAAGAUACCGGAUAUUGGUGACCUGGGAGGAUUUAGGAAGCAGCAAAUGGAUGGACGCAGUAAGACUAAAGUUCAAAGAUAAAAGAGAAGCAUCUGUCAACUGAUGAAGGAACUGUCUUUACAGAAAAUAAGAAGACACACAGAGACAACUGGGAGAAAGCCAUGUGAAGAUGGAGACAGAGAACAAAGGUCUAUUGCCACAAGCCAGGGAAGACCAAGAGCCACCAGAAUAUGGAAGAGACAAGGAAGGAUCCUCCCCUAGAGACUUCGAAGGGAUUGUGGCCCUGCUGACACCUUGACUUCAAACUUCUAGCCUCAAAAAUGUUAGAAAACAAACUACUGUCAUUUUAAACCACCCAAUUUGUAGUAGUUUCUUAUGGCAGUCGUUGUAAACUAAUACACUCAUUAAGUUGGUUCCUUUUGAAAACUGAGGGAAAAAAUGUUUUUCUUCUUGCUUUUGCUUUCUUGUGCAUAAAUAUCAAAAACUAAUUCAUAUAACACUAUAAAACAUAAUUUGGACAGAUUGAAGAAUUUAUAAUAUUUAACCCCCAAAACAAGUUCAAAUUUUAGCUAUUGUAAACAUA
This 628-nucleotide long non-coding RNA is filed under the name Homo sapiens (human). RNAcentral's name for it is "HSALNT0306857". The record is from RNAcentral. Lineage: Eukaryota; Metazoa; Chordata; Mammalia; Primates; Hominidae.